This 1059-nucleotide long non-coding RNA is filed under the name Equus asinus (donkey). RNAcentral's name for it is "lncRNA (ENSEASG00005025544.1)". Lineage: Eukaryota; Metazoa; Chordata; Mammalia; Perissodactyla; Equidae. The record is from RNAcentral.
UUUCAAGAAAAAUGAGAACAUCCAAUGGCCUUAUGGGGCAGUAAAGUAUACUCUGCCAGAUCUAAUUCUCACUGGACCACACUAGAUAGUAGUAUCAGCUUCCUAGCCUUCUCUCCUGAAUCUCCACCUGUAAAUUAGGAGACUGAGAAGAUCAUCAUAAAAAAUCUCUUACAGCUAUAAAAUGUUGUGGUAUUGAAGGUCCAGGCAGAGGGCAUGAGCACCUCACCGGAGGGUGACAUCUAGGGGAAAGAAACCCUGAUUUAAUGUGAACUGGAGUCCUGUACUAUUGAAAAGAUUGGGCAACACGAGGCAGAUGCCCAGAACCCCAGGAAGAAGGGCGACGGGCCGUGCCACCAGGGAGAAACAGCAGCCCGGGAGAGAGGCAGCCCCUCCCUGGAGGCAACCCGGGCAUGUGGAGGGUUGUGAGCAGCUGAGCAGGCCUCACCCACGAUGGUCUCUAAUCAAGGAGUGCUCCUGAGGCUAUUGGGGAAGGUAUCCACCCCUCACCUUCACAGUCCCUGCCUGCCAGUGACAACUUUGCAGGUGACCAGCUAACCCCGUCAUCCCUGUUGAGAGGAGUUGGUGCACAUCAGUUUAAGACAGGGUUGUGUGUGUACAUACUACCUGAAACUACUACAACUGUUGUUCAGCCAUGAAGCGAGUCAGCCCAGAGCAAAGCCAACUCACAGAGUGUGACAGGGAAAAGAUGGGAAAACCUGGUCCUGAUGACAUCAUUGAGGCAAAUGGUUGUACUAGGCCUGGAGCGUGUUCAACCUCUGGACAUCCUAUAAUGUGAAAUAAUAAAUUCCCUUGUUGUUCAAGCCAGUUAGAGUCAGGGUUUUCUGUUCCUUAAAGCCAAGAGCACUGACUUGAUAAACCACAAACUGCAAGCUAUUGGUGGGUAGGAAACACAGUAAGGACAAUGUGUUUAAAAGAUCAUGUCGAGAUUUUAAGAGGAAAACAGAUGGCAAAAAAGGGGUAGUUGACAUCAAUGGGGGGCUUAACCUUCUGUUGUUCCUAAAAUCAUCUCCAAUCAUUCCCCUGGCCUCUGGACCUGUG